Molecule: long non-coding RNA, 907 nt
Filed under: Homo sapiens (human)
Lineage: Eukaryota; Metazoa; Chordata; Mammalia; Primates; Hominidae
Description: HSALNT0339985
Source: RNAcentral
CUCUUCCGCCUCCUGCCUGGUUCGCCGCUCCCCUCCGCGACGACACGCCCCCAGCCCACUCCGCCGCGGGACGCCUCAUCCCGCGGGUACCCUUCACAGGUUUAACAGCCUCCACCCCUCGGGCACCAAGCAGUGUUAUCCAGGAAAAAAAAAAAAAAAGAGACUGAUUCUCAGUAGUAAUCUCUGUGCCUGUGAGGAACUUAAUGCAAGUCUCAGGAUCUCAAAAUAAGACCUACGAGCAUAAAGUAAUGAGUCUGUCAAGCUGGAUUUCCAUGCAUGGGGGAGGAUCUCUUUAAGUAAGGAAACUUCCUUGUGCUUCUUUAAGCACAGUUGCUAUCAUUCCGGGAGAAGCUCCUUUUAACCCAUAUCUUCUUCCAACUAGCAUCCUAUUUUUUUUCUUUCCUUCCCAGCUGAACUUCUUAAGGACCAACCUAUAUGAUGUGAUAUUUUAGAUAUUAACCUAUUUUUCUUGGUAUUCCUUGUAUAGCUUGCCACUUUCCCAACCCUCACCCAUAGGUUUGUUGCAUUGAAGAAAGGAUGUAGAAGGAAAAUCUUUCUGGCUUUUGUUUCUAGACUCUCAAACCCCACAAAUGGGGAGAGGAUUCAGGCCACAGAGAAAUGGCUUCAGGAGAAGCCAAGGGCAGGGGUAUAUAGGUGGAGGGAGAACAGGCAGCAUCUUCCUCCCCCUCAACUCUAGAAACAGAUUUCUCUGGGUCUGAGAGGGUGGGAGGGUGCUUCUAGGUGGACAAAACCACACAGCCCGUUUAACCUUCCUGGUCUCCAAAAUAUCCCGUACCCUAUCUUAGUACAGAGCAAUAUUUCAAAAUCCUGACAAAACCAGAAUGGAGACUCAAAACAGAAAUUGAAUUGGUGGAAUAUAUUAAAACAUAUUUCUUUACAAGCUUGA